RNAcentral lists this non-coding RNA (105 nucleotides) under Chelonobacter oris. RNAcentral's name for it is "TPP sequence". It matches the Rfam family "TPP riboswitch aptamer (THI element)". From Rfam's summary of the family: Vitamin B(1) in its active form thiamin pyrophosphate (TPP) is an essential coenzyme that is synthesised by coupling of pyrimidine and thiazole moieties in bacteria. The previously detected thiamin-regulatory element, thi box was extended, resulting in a new, highly conserved RNA secondary structure, the THI element, which is widely distributed in eubacteria and also occurs in some archaea. Lineage: Bacteria; Pseudomonadati; Pseudomonadota; Gammaproteobacteria; Pasteurellales; Pasteurellaceae. The record is from Rfam by way of RNAcentral.
UCUCUCUUGUCGGAGUGCCAAUGAUCUAUUGGCUGAGACCGUAAACCGGGAUCCGUGGAACCUGCUCGGGUUAAGACCUGCGAAGGGAACAAGUCAAUCAUCUUA